Molecule: small nucleolar RNA, 109 nt
Organism: Xenopus tropicalis (tropical clawed frog)
Lineage: Eukaryota; Metazoa; Chordata; Amphibia; Anura; Pipidae
Source: Ensembl
UUGGAGUAUGAUGAGUUGCACUAAAGGGAGAGGCGGUGCUGUGUACUGCCAAACCCGACAGACCCAGACUGGUGACAGAACCAUGUGCACAGGGGCCAUCUGACUCCAU